Molecule: ribosomal RNA, 349 nt
Filed under: uncultured bacterium
Lineage: Bacteria
Description: bacterial SSU rRNA
Rfam family: Bacterial small subunit ribosomal RNA
Source: RNAcentral
GGGCCCGCACAAGCGGUGGAGCAUGUGGUUUAAUUCGAUGAUACGCGAGGAACCUUACCAGGGCUUAAAUGGGAGAUGACAGGGGCAGAGACGCCCUUUUCUUCGGACAUCUUUCAAGGUGCUGCAUGGUUGUCGUCAGCUCGUGCCGUGAGGUGUCAGGUUAAGUCCUAUAACGAGCGCAACCCCUACCGUUAGUUGCCAGCGAUUCAAGUCGGGGACUCUAACGGGACUGCCGGUGCAAACCGUGAGGAAGGUGGGGACGACGUCAAAUCAUCACGGCCCUUACGUCCUGGCUACACACGUGCUACAAUGGUCGGUACAGAGGGAAGCCAACCCGCGAGGGGGAGCC